GACGAACGCUGGCGGCGUGCUUAACACAUGCAAGUCGAACGGAAAGGCCUCUUUCGGGGGGUACUCGAGUGGCGAACGGGUGAGUAACACGUGAGUAACCUGCCCUUGACUUUGGGAUAACUUCAGGAAACUGGGGCUAAUACCGGAUAGGAGCUCCUGCUGCAUGGUGGGGGUUGGAAAGUUUCGGCGGUUGGGGAUGGACUCGCGGCUUAUCAGCUUGUUGGUGGGGUAGUGGCUUACCAAGGCUUUGACGGGUAGCCGGCCUGAGAGGGUGACCGGCCACAGUGGGACUGAGAUACGGCCCAGACUCCUACGGGAGGCAGCAGGGGGGAAUAUUGCACAAUGGGUGGAAGCCUGAUGCAGCAACGCCGUGUGCGGGAUGACGGACUUCGGGUUGUAAACCGCUUUCGCUCAUGACGAAGCUUUGUGUGACGGUAGUGGGUAAAGAAGCACCGGCUAACUACGUG
Molecule: ribosomal RNA, 467 nt
Filed under: uncultured bacterium
Lineage: Bacteria
Description: partial 16S ribosomal RNA
Rfam family: Bacterial small subunit ribosomal RNA
Source: RNAcentral